GACUGUUCAGGUCAUUGAAAGCAAGGAAAGCCUGAUAAACUGCCAUGGCCACGAGGAGUCUAAGGACACAUCCAAUUUCCAUUCGCAUCCAAAAUGGAAUCCGAGACAGAAAGAGGACCUUAGCCUUCAUAUCUGUUUUUUUCUUAUGAAGCUUCUUCUGGUUGGAAACUUGUCAAAUUUCAUCAGAUGGCUGGAACUCUCCCUGUCUCUUUUUCUUUCUGUCAUGGCUGGCAAGAGCUCAUGGGCCAUGAGCUGCAUCUUUAUAAACAUGAACAGAUUAGCAGGUAGUCCCAAAUGGGACAAAUGCUACCUUAUUGCAGACAGUUUCUAGUAUAGUCCCACAUUCUUUGAGAAAGUAGGUGGAGACCCCGUCAGCACCAGGCCACUGGCAGCAAAUGGUUGUAGCCGGGAGCCAGAAUAGAGCAAGUCCAGCCUGAGCCUGUGGUCGGCAGUGGAGGAGAAGAGAGGGUCGCAGACCUGAGGCAAAGGGCAGCCUGAACAACCAAGAACCAG
Molecule: small RNA, 513 nt
Filed under: Pan troglodytes (chimpanzee)
Lineage: Eukaryota; Metazoa; Chordata; Mammalia; Primates; Hominidae
Description: processed transcript
Source: RNAcentral